GCGCAUUUGAGUGCGUGGCUACGAACCACGAGGUCGGGAGUUCGAAUCUCUCCGGGCGCGCCA
This 63-nucleotide transfer RNA is filed under the name Gammaproteobacteria bacterium. Its description in RNAcentral is "tRNA-Ser". It matches the Rfam family "tRNA", at positions 15 to 71 of the family's 71-position model. From Rfam's summary of the family: Transfer RNA (tRNA) molecules are approximately 80 nucleotides in length. Their secondary structure includes four short double-helical elements and three loops (D, anti-codon, and T loops). The record is from RNAcentral. Lineage: Bacteria; Pseudomonadati; Pseudomonadota; Gammaproteobacteria.